Molecule: ribosomal RNA, 380 nt
Filed under: uncultured eukaryote
Lineage: Eukaryota
Description: partial 18S ribosomal RNA
Rfam family: Eukaryotic small subunit ribosomal RNA
Source: RNAcentral
CAAUAGCGUAUAUUAAAGUUGUUGCAGUUAAAAAGCUCGUAGUUGGAUUUCUGGCAGGGGCGAACGGUCACACACAAUGUGUGUGAGCUUGUUUGUUCCGCCAUCCUUGGUGAGAUCCUAUUUGGCUUUAAGUUGUCGGGUAGGGGAUAACCAUCGUUUACUGUGAAAAAAUUAGAGUGUUUAAAGCAGGCUUAUGCCGUUGAAUAUAUUAGCAUGGAAUAAUAAGAUAGGACUUUCGGUCUAUUUUGUUGGUUUGCGAGUGAAAGUAAUGACUAAUAGGGACAGUUGGGGGUAUUCGUAUUUCAUUGUCAGAGGUGAAAUUCUUGGAUUUCUGAAAGACGAACUACUGCGAAAGCAUUUACCAAGGAUGUUUUCAUUAA